Long non-coding RNA from Dinoponera quadriceps, 418 nucleotides. RefSeq lists it as uncharacterized. The transcript has 2 exons. NCBI's taxonomy places the organism in Eukaryota, Metazoa, Arthropoda, Insecta, Hymenoptera, Formicidae. The record is from RefSeq and is a predicted model, not a curated record.
UAAAGCCAGCGUUCAGUUCGUUUAGGAAUUGCGCGAUUUCUAUCGGCCGAUUGUAAUCGCCACCUGUGACGGAAUUUACUGCGAAACGGCUCUGAAAAGGAAACACCGUUGGCGCGGACCGUCAGUGAGAAAUUGUCAGAUGAGGAAAUGAGAAGAGAAGCAGAUACGUUCAGCGAAAAAAACGAUAGAUGAGCAGUCACUGAUUAUUGGUUUAUACUAUUAGAUCCCUAAAUUUAAACCAAUUAUCUUGACGAAUUACUCAAGAAUUGUGCAACCGUUGUGUUCGCUGAAUGCAACCAAUGACGUUACGCUGUUGUUUGUUUACACAGUUCAUAGGGAUUUAGAAGAAUUUAGAGGGAUUUAUCAAUAACAAAUAAAUGUAAAAAUAUAUGUAUCAAAUAAAUAAAUACGCAAAAAU